GUGCUUUAGGAAUGAACAAAGUCCCACAUAUUCAUAUCCAUUCUUUUCACUUUGUCAGCGCUCUUUCUUUUAUGUCUUGUUGAUCCUUGUUGGAUGGAAGAUCU
This is a non-coding RNA of Cucumis melo (muskmelon), 104 nucleotides long. The record is from Rfam. Lineage: Eukaryota; Viridiplantae; Streptophyta; Magnoliopsida; Cucurbitales; Cucurbitaceae.